This 450-nucleotide ribosomal RNA is filed under the name uncultured bacterium. RNAcentral describes it as "partial 16S ribosomal RNA". It matches the Rfam family "Bacterial small subunit ribosomal RNA", at positions 354 to 796 of the family's 1533-position model. The record is from RNAcentral.
GUGGGGAAUAUUGGACAAUGGGCGAAAGCCUGAUCCAACCAUGCCGCGUGUGUGAAGAAGGUCUUCGGAUUGUAAAGCACUUUAAGUUGGGAGGAAGGGCAGUAAGUUAAUACCUUGCUGUUUUGACGUUACCGACAGAAUAAGCACCGGCUAACUUCGUGCCAGCAGCCGCGGUAAUACGAAGGGUGCAAGCGUUAAUCGGAAUUACUGGGCGUAAAGCGCGCGUAGGUGGUUUUGUAAGUUGGAGGUGAAAUCCCCGGGCUCAAACUGGGAACUGCCUCCAAAAAUACUGAGCUAGAGUACGGUAGAGGGUAGUGGAAUUUCCUGUGUAGCGGUGAAAUGCGUAGAUAUAGGAAGGAACGCCAGUGGCGAAGGCGACUACCUGGACUGAUACUGACACUGAGGUGCGAAAGCGUGGGGAGCAAACAGGAUUAGAAACCCCUGUAGUCC